This 473-nucleotide ribosomal RNA is filed under the name uncultured bacterium. RNAcentral's name for it is "bacterial SSU rRNA". It matches the Rfam family "Bacterial small subunit ribosomal RNA", at positions 30 to 534 of the family's 1533-position model. The record is from RNAcentral.
AUUGAACGCUGGCGGCAGGCCUAACACAUGCAAGUCGAGCGGGGUUUUCGGACCUAGCGGCGGACGGGUGAGUAAUGCGUAGGAAGCUACCCGAUAGAGGGGGAUACCAGUUGGAAACGACUGUUAAUACCGCAUAAUGUCUACGGACCAAAGUGUGGGACCUUCGGGCCACAUGCUAUCGGAUGCGCCUACGUGGGAUUAGCUAGUUGGUGAGGUAAUGGCUCACCAAGGCGACGAUCUCUAGCUGGUUUGAGAAGAUGAUCAGCCACACUGGAACUGAGACACGGUCCAGACUCCUACGGGAGGCAGCAGUGGGGAAUAUUGGACAAUGGGCGCAAGCCUGAUCCAGCCAUGCCGCGUGUGUGAUGAAGGCCUUAGGGUUGUAAAGCUCUUUUACCCGGGAUGAUAAUGACAGUACCGGAGAAUAAGCUCCGGCUAACUCCGUGCCAGCAGCCGCGGUAAUGUGACUACUG